RNAcentral lists this unclassified non-coding RNA (303 nucleotides) under Entoloma sp. Its description in RNAcentral is "partial internal transcribed spacer region". The stretch from base 1 to 46 matches the Rfam family "Eukaryotic small subunit ribosomal RNA", at positions 1786 to 1831 of the family's 1831-position model. Lineage: Eukaryota; Fungi; Basidiomycota; Agaricomycetes; Agaricales; Entolomataceae. The record is from RNAcentral.
AAGUCGUAACAAGGUUUCCGUAGGUGAACCUGCGGAAGGAUCAUUAUUGAAAUAAAAAUUGGUGUCGAGUUGCUGCUGGCUUUUCGGAGUAUGUGCACACUCAUACCAUUUUUAUACAACCACCUGUGCACUUUUGUAGAUGUCUUUUAAUACUUGAGGAUCUUACUAGCUUGUUCUAGUGUUUCUCGUAUUAAAGGCUCUAUGUUUUUAUACACCCCAUGAAUAGUCCCAGAAUGAAUACUAUUUAGGCCUUUGUGCCUUUAAAAAUUAAAAUAACUUUCAACAACGGAUCUCUUGGCUCUC